CGACCCCUGAUGAUAUUGGGCCUAAGCAUCCGUAGCUGGCUGGACAAGUCCUCUGUUAAAUCCAGCGAUUCAAUCGUUGGCCUGCGGGGGAUACUGCUCGGCUAGGGGGCGAGAGAGGCCGACGGUAUUCUCGGGGUAGGGGUGAAAUCCUAUAAUCCCGGGAAGACCACCAGUGGCGAAGGCUGUCUGCUAGAACGCGCCCGACGGUGAGGGAUGAAAGCUGGGGGAGCGAACCGGAUUAGAUACCCGGGUAGUCCCAGCUGUAAACGAUGCAGGCUAGGUGUUAGGGCGGCUACGUGCCGCUCUAGUGCCGCAGGGAAGCUGUUAAGCCUGCCGCCUGGGGAGUACGGUCGCAAGGCUGAAACUUAAAGGAUUGCGGGGGGGAGCACAAA
Molecule: ribosomal RNA, 392 nt
Filed under: uncultured archaeon
Lineage: Archaea
Description: bacterial SSU rRNA
Rfam family: Archaeal small subunit ribosomal RNA
Source: RNAcentral